GGUGGCUCAGUGGUAGAGCGCUUGCCUUGCUUGCAUGGGGCCCUGGGUUCGAUUCCUCAGCACCA
Molecule: transfer RNA, 65 nt
Filed under: Dipodomys ordii (Ord's kangaroo rat)
Lineage: Eukaryota; Metazoa; Chordata; Mammalia; Rodentia; Heteromyidae
Rfam family: tRNA
About the family: Transfer RNA (tRNA) molecules are approximately 80 nucleotides in length. Their secondary structure includes four short double-helical elements and three loops (D, anti-codon, and T loops).
Source: Rfam by way of RNAcentral